This 512-nucleotide ribosomal RNA is filed under the name uncultured bacterium. RNAcentral describes it as "bacterial SSU rRNA". It matches the Rfam family "Bacterial small subunit ribosomal RNA", at positions 28 to 526 of the family's 1533-position model. The record is from RNAcentral.
GACGAACGCUGGCGGCGUGCCUAACACAUGCAAGUGGAGCGACGAACCAGGGCUUGCCCUGGUGCAAAGCCGCGAACGGGUGAGUAUCACGUGGGUAACCUGCCCCGAUGACCGGGACAACCCGAGGAAACUCGGGCUAAUACCGGAUGUGGUGUUCACACAUAAGUGUGAGCUCCAAAGGAAGCUUCGGCCUCCACAUUGGGAUGGGCCCGCGGCCCAUUAGCUAGUUGGUGAGGUAAUGGCCCACCAAGGCAACGAUGGGUAGCUGGUCUGAGAGGACGAUCAGCCACACUGGGACUGAGACACGGCCCAGACUCCUACGGGAGGCAGCAGUGGGGAAUCUUGCGCAAUGCGCGAAAGCGUGACGCAGCAACGCCGCGUGAGGGAAGAAGGCCUUCGGGUUGUAAACCUCUUUCAGGAGGGACGAAGGCCCGCCGGCGAAUAGCCGUGCGGGUUGACGGUACCUCCAGAAGAAGCCCCGGCUAACUACGUGCCAGCAGCCGCGGUAAAAC